GAUGAACGCUGGCGGCGUGCCUAAUACAUGCAAGUCGAGCGAACAGACGAGGAGCUUGCUCCUCUGACGUUAGCGGCGCACGGGUGAGUAACACGUGUAUAACCUCCCUAUAAUUCUGAUAUAACUUCGGAAAACCGGCGCUAAUACCGGAUAAUAUAUUGAACCGCAGUGUGCAAUAGUAAAAGACGGUUUUGCUGUCACGACUCGCUGGUUCCGCGCCGGAUUAGCUGGUUGUUAAGUUAACGGCUUACCAAGGCAACGAUGCGUAUCCGACCUUAGGGGGUGAUAGGCCACCUGGGAGGGGAGCCAGGGUCCAGAGUACUGAGGGAGGCAGCAGUAGGGAACCGUACGCAACGGUCGAAAGCAUGACGGAGUAACGCCGCGUGAGUGAUGAAGGCCUCGCGAUCGUAAAAACCUGUUAUUAGGGAAGAACCAAUGUGUAAGUAACUAUGCCCGUCUUGACGGUAACUAAUAAGAAAGCCACGGCUAACUACGUG
Molecule: ribosomal RNA, 497 nt
Filed under: uncultured bacterium
Lineage: Bacteria
Description: partial 16S ribosomal RNA
Rfam family: Bacterial small subunit ribosomal RNA
Source: RNAcentral